GGGCCCGCACAAGCGGUGGAGUAUGUGGUUUAAUUCGAUGAUACGCGAGGAACCUUACCAGGGCUUAAAUGUAGUCUGACAGGGGUGGAAACACCCCCUCCUUCGGGCAGAUUACAAGGUGCUGCAUGGUUGUCGUCAGCUCGUGCCGUGAGGUGUCAGGUUAAGUCCUAUAACGAGCGCAACCCCUGCCGUUAGUUGCCAGCAUGUAAUGAUGGGAACUCUAACGGGACUGCCGGUGCAAACCGCGAGGAAGGUGGGGAUGACGUCAAAUCAUCACGGCCCUUACGUCCUGGGCUACACACGUGCUACAAUGGCCGGUACAGAGGGCAGCCACACCGCAAGGUGGAGCGAAUCCUUAAAAACCGGUCUCAGUUCGGAUCGGGGUCUGCAACUCGGCCCCGUGAAGCUGGAAUC
RNAcentral lists this ribosomal RNA (414 nucleotides) under uncultured bacterium. RNAcentral's name for it is "bacterial SSU rRNA". It matches the Rfam family "Bacterial small subunit ribosomal RNA", at positions 917 to 1333 of the family's 1533-position model. The record is from RNAcentral.